UACGAAGGGGGCUAGCGUUGCUCGGAAUCACUGGGCGUAAAGGGUGCGUAGGCGGGUCUUUAAGUCAGGGGUGAAAUCCUGGAGCUCAACUCCAGAACUGCCUUUGAUACUGAGGAUCUUGAGUUCGGGAGAGGUGAGUGGAACUGCGAGUGUAGAGGUGAAAUUCGUAGAUAUUCGCAAGAACACCAGUGGCGAAGGCGGCUCACUGGCCCGAUACUGACGCUGAGGCACGAAAGCUGGGGGAGCAAACAGG
This 253-nucleotide ribosomal RNA is filed under the name uncultured bacterium. Its description in RNAcentral is "partial 16S ribosomal RNA". It matches the Rfam family "Bacterial small subunit ribosomal RNA", at positions 524 to 776 of the family's 1533-position model. The record is from RNAcentral.